RNAcentral lists this ribosomal RNA (647 nucleotides) under Salmonella enterica. Its description in RNAcentral is "partial 23S ribosomal RNA". It matches the Rfam family "Bacterial large subunit ribosomal RNA", at positions 1 to 688 of the family's 2925-position model. The record is from RNAcentral. RNAcentral also lists the same sequence under 2 other names. Lineage: Bacteria; Pseudomonadati; Pseudomonadota; Gammaproteobacteria; Enterobacterales; Enterobacteriaceae.
GGUUAAGCGACUAAGCGUACACGGUGGAUGCCCUGGCAGUCAGAGGCGAUGAAGGGCGUGCUAAUCUGCGAUAAGCGCCGGUAAGGUGAUAUGAACCGUUAUAACCGGCGAUACCCGAAUGGGGAAACCCAGUGUGAUUCGUCACACUAUCAUUAACUGAAUCCAUAGGUUAAUGAGGCGAACCGGGGGAACUGAAACAUCUAAGUACCCCGAGGAAAAGAAAUCAACCGAGAUUCCCCCAGUAGCGGCGAGCGAACGGGGAGGAGCCCAGAGCCUGAAUCAGCAUGUGUGUUAGUGGAAGCGUCUGGAAAGGCGCGCGAUACAGGGUGACAGCCCCGUACACAAAAGCGCAUGUGCUGUGAGCUCGAUGAGUAGGGCGGGACACGUGGUAUCCUGUCUGAAUAUGGGGGGACCAUCCUCCAAGGCUAAAUACUCCUGACUGACCGAUAGUGAACCAGUACCGUGAGGGAAAGGCGAAAAGAACCCCGGCGAGGGGAGUGAAAAAGAACCUGAAACCGUGUACGUACAAGCAGUGGGAGCACAGGUUUACCUGUGUGACUGCGUACCUUUUGUAUAAUGGGUCAGCGACUUAUAUUCUGUAGCAAGGUUAACCGUAUAGGGGAGCCGGAGGGAAACCGAGUCUUAAC